GAUGAACGCUGGCGGCGUGCUUAACACAUGCAAGUCGAACGGAAAGGCCUCUUUCUGGGGGUACUCGAGUUGCGAACGGGUGAGUAACACGUGAGUAACCUGCCCUUGACUUUGGGAUAACUUCAGGAAACUGGGGCUAAUACCUAAUAGGUGCUCCUGCUGCAUGGUUGGGGCUGGAAAGUUUCGGGGGUUUGGGGUGGACUCGCGGCGUAUCCGCUUGGUGUUGGAGUAGUGGCUUACCAAGGCUUUGACGGGGAGCCGGCCUGAGAGAGUGACCGGCGGCCUUGAGACUGACGGACGGCACAAGCUCCGACGGGACGCAGAAGUGGGGAAGCUUGAACGAGGAGUGGCGGCCUGAUGCAGAAGCGCCGUGGGCGGGAUGACGGCCUUCGGGUUGUAAACCGCAUUCGUAAAUGACGAAGCUUGGUGUGACGGUAGUUGGUAAGAAAGCACCGGCUAACUACGUG
RNAcentral lists this ribosomal RNA (467 nucleotides) under uncultured bacterium. RNAcentral describes it as "partial 16S ribosomal RNA". It matches the Rfam family "Bacterial small subunit ribosomal RNA", at positions 28 to 507 of the family's 1533-position model. The record is from RNAcentral.